UGAUACGAAACACGUUCCCAUAUGUAAACUGGAAAACUAGGUGUUUAGGCCGUUAAACUGUUGCUGUGGUAACUAAAUUUGUGGCUUAGUUAAUCGCUGGUAUACUAACUCUCAAUUCCUUAAUCAACGCAGUUGAAAUAUGUCAUUCUGGACGUAAAUACAUAGUUGCCGAAAUGAACUUGACUGUUAUGAAUUUAAGCCGUCUUCGUGAUUUGUCCUCGAAUUUAGGAUGGAAAAACGAUGAUAAUACUUACGUGAUUGGACAUGAUUGUUUAAAUGCUUUAAAGAGUCUGGAAGAUGAACUAUUAAACGAAGAUGUUCUCAACCGAAAUGUUCGACUUGGUCUACAUAUUUGCAACACUGUCAAAGAAGAUUUGAUUCCUAUUCUGACAAAUGGAAAAGAUGCGAAGGUUCUCUCUACUGCAACCAGAGUCCUUGUGAACCUGAGUUUGCCAGUAGAGUGUCUUUUACCCAGAGAAGAUAUUCUAACACCAAGAAUCCGGAAUGUACAAAAGCAACUUGUGUUAUCUUCUUUGGCAAUAAAGAAAUCAUUUCUAGAUGCUGCUGCGACUUUAUCUCUUGUCAGUAUGUUAAGGGAAUCCAUGAUUAAAUCAGAGAAACAUAUGAUACCUUUAAAAGAUGAGGACUGCAAUCAUUUAAAAAACUGUUUGAAUCUUAUGCGAAAUCUUUUGCAUUUAUCAGAAGACACUACAUCUUAUGAGAAAGGCCUGACACAAAUACAUUCUGAAUUCCUGGCUACUCAGAGCAAAUUUAUUUGGAACUUAUUUGUUCAAGGAGUAGAUGGUGCACUUUUACUGAUGCUCAACAGUAAAUAUAGAGCUUACUGGACAGCUCCUUUAGCUCACAUAAUUGCUCUACUAUAUAGAGGCCAAAGUAUAUCAAAAGUUCAUCUGGCACUAGAAUUAGUAUCUUCAGCUUCAGAGAGCUCUGGUGAUGAAGAAAGUGAUGGUUCAAAGAAUUCAUCCUCAUCAUUAAGCAGUGAACCUUCAAAAAGUAAUGGAUUAAGUGAUUCAGGAUGUCCUUCAAAUUCUGAUGUAUCUGUUAUAUUUUCUGAUGAACGAAAAGACUGUCUUGAAGAAUCCAAAAAAUGUGGUAGUUUAGAUAUUCAUACUGAGCUUGAAAAAGUGCAAAUCUGUGAUGAUGAUCCAAAAUUUAACAUUCAAGUGAAACGAAUAAAUAGUUCAAAAAAUGGUGAGUGUAAAAUGAAAGUCUCUUCUUAUCGGGAUAAUGAUUCUGAAAGUUCAAGUUCAUCUGAAUCACCUCAUCAUAAAAAAAUUAAAGGGAGUAACAGUUCAUCUGAUGGGAUGAAGUUGAAGGAAUCUUCGGAGGGUCCUUCAAAAUAUGAUUCCGCUCUGUGUGAAAGUAUGGAUCAUAGUUCACCUGACAUCACGGAAAGUAAAUCCUCUGAUGAUGAUCUUUUUGAAGACAAAAAAUCAAAAAAUCUAAAAGCUGUACAUAAACUGAGAUGCUUGCAGAUCCAUUCAAAAAUAUUAGAAAGUGAUUCAAGCAAUGAGGAUGUGCAAGAUGUAAAAGUAAAAUAUCGUAGCCAUCCACCUGCUGGUCGAAGAGGUAAGAGUCCUAGGAGAAAUAAUGGUUGUAUUCCAUCAGUAUGUAUGGAUUCUGCCUUUGCUGUAUCAUGUGUUAGAGGAAGAAUGAGGUAUCCUUUGUGGGAAAAAAGAAAUAGUUUUUCUGCUUUAGUGGAUGCCUCUUGUCCAACUCCAACAGAUGAUGAUAUCGGAAACCUCUUAAAGGAAUUUACCUUAAGUUUUAUGCAUAGUGGUUUUUCCAAGUUAGUUUUGGAGAUAAAGGAUUUACUUCUUCAAGGGCCAUCUGCUGUCAUUGACAGAUCACUUUUUUUCUGGCUUUUGAGUUACUUCUUACAUCUGGCAGCCUCAGUGAAUAUUAGUUUAGAUCAUAUAAGUGCUAUCCUUAGCGUUGAAGUUAUUUCCUUCUUGGUGUAUGAAUGCGUCACUGCUUGUGAAAAUAUGGAGUUACAUUGUAAUGCUACUGAAAAAAUCUGCAAGUAUUAUUCAGUUCAAUUGGAUUUACUUGUAAAUGCAUUGAAAGAAAUACUGAAUACUGUUGAUUUGUACACUCGAAAACCUAGUUCGCAGAAAGAUAAAUCACAUUUUACGGAACUUUGCAGCAAAUUAGCUGAGCUUCAGGAUCUCAGACUUACUCCUCUCCUUCUGUUUCAAAGUGCAAGAAAUAGUAGUAGAAGAUGUAUGGAGGAUAUUGUUAUUCUUAAUCACCAGAUAUUGACAAUUGUAGAAAGAGGAUCAGAAAAUUGUAUGGCACUCAAGAAGAUGAACAUUGUGACGCAUUUAAAGCAAUUUUCUACGAGAAACGUUAUGAACUGCUAUGGAAAUCUGCUUGAAAAUUUCAAGACUAAUAGCCACUUUUUGAAUGAAUGUGUGUUCACAAUGAUGCACCAUAUAGCUGGAGAUGUUCAUUCAUCACAGUUACUUAUUGAACCAUCAGUUCUGAAAACUUUUUCCAGCAUUCUAAAAGAAGAUAUGGAGCUUGAACAAUAUCAAGAGGAUUUGAUUAUGUAUAUUUUGAACAAGUUCAGUAUGCAAGUCAAAAGGGAGAGCUUAAGAGUGAGAAAAGCUGAGAAAGUUGAUGAAAGUGACUCAAGUGAUGACUCAUCAAGCAAUAGCUCUGUUAGCAGUAAUUGUUUACUCUCUGAAGAUGAUGAUGACUUAUUUUGGUGGUAUCUGCAAUUUGAACAAGAUAAAGAUCCAAUCUCCAGAAUUUCUGAACAUAUUUCAACAUCCAAACGAGAUAUCCUUUCAAAAUUGCAAUUAAAGGGUAUAAUAUCUCCUGAGAAAUACCAGCAAUUAGAGGCACAAAUGAAGACUGGUCAGGAGCCUUGUUUGGAACUACUCCCAAAUGACAAUUUAGCUCAUAUGACUAAUUUUGAUGAUGAUAUCACACACCUGAUGCGUACUAUAGUUCAGGCUGGUGAACGACAGCAUCUGACUUGGUUACAAGAUGUUUUGCUUGAAACAUGUUAUGUCAAAUUAGGCUUGAAUACAUAUUUGCCUGAGCCUGUACCAUUGUAUUCCAUUAGAAUGAUGAUGUCAAUUCCAUUAGUACCAUACACUGAAGAACAAAGGUUGAUUCUUCGCGAUGAAGUAUUUUUGCAAUUGCUGCAAAAGUUAGGUUUGCACCUUGGUUUAGGUGAUAGUCAAAUGUAUCCUAGAGUACCAUUAUUUUGGAAGGCUGAUGUACUUUUUGCUAUUGCUGCCCGCCUUGGACCUAUGAGAAAAGAUAAGCUGAAAUUUACGUAUGAAGAACUUAUGCUGGCUGAUCCAAAUCAUGACCCUAUUCUUAGAAAUACUUUAUGUCCUCCUCUUCCUCCAUUAUCUUCAUGUUGCACUUUGAGCUCCUGGUUAACAGCUGUACAGCAGAGUAAGGAAUACUACAGAACUUCUAAUAUAAACAAAACAGCUUUUUAGUAUAAGAAAAAGUUUUUAAUUUUUAAAUGCCUGCAUCUCUUUAUAUCUCCAAGGAACUUUAUAUUUAUAAUAUAAAAUUUAAUCAUCUGAGUAUCAUAUUUCUGUGGAGCAUUUUCUGCCACGAAUGUUGGAUGUCAAGUAAUGCAUGGUGUGAUCUUUUGCCAUUUCCAUAAGUGCUCAACUUUAAAUGGUUGUUUUUUAAAUAUAUAUAUGCAGUAUUUAACAUGGAUGAUAUUUCUACAGCUGGAAGAUGUAACAUAUUUGGCUUCAACUGGAUAUUAGUUUUGUAUAACAAAAAUAAAUUAAAAAAAUUAAGUAAAUCUUUUAGAAUAUAUAAAAGAGAUUUUCAUGCAUUUUUAAUGAUUUUAAGUCAGGUAGAUUAAUAUUUCCCACCUUGAGGUUUUCUAUUUAGUUUUUUUUUUACUGAGUAUUUUUUAUUUUAAUGAAGCUGCAUAUUUUGAGGAAAAUAUACUUGUCAUGAAAUUUAUGUAAGCUUUCGACUUGCUUAACCACUAAAGUAAUUUUACAAAAGAGAUGUUGUACAGUGUUUUUAAAUAAGCAUACAUGUGCAUAAAGUUUCAAUUAACUAAUCAGAAGACUAUAAUAACUAAUUAAUAAUAUAUUGACUAUAACAAUAUUGUAAUGGUUUGACUUUCUCAUUUUUGACCAUACCUUAAUUAUUUCUGAAACCAUUAGAAUAUAUUUCAAUUACAUCAUGACUUUUAAAUACAAAAGUACAUCUAUUACAUAACUAUGUAAUAUACAGUUGCCCUUCAGACUGAAAACUAUUAUUAGACUGAAUAAAUUGGUUGAUACUGUAAACAUCAAGGAUUAUGCUUAAUAGAUUUUGUUAGUUAUAACAAAGAAACAUUUUUCCAUCUAUAUGUUGUAUUGUGUUAAACUGCAUUGUAUUGAUAAAAAUUUUCAGUAACUGUAUAAGAUCACUAAACUGUCUGUUGAUCAUGAAAAUUUGUUAACUGCUCACUUAAAUAAGCAGCAAUGUUAUAUAAUUACUUGGCAAAAUCAGCAUAACAGGAGGGUAUUUUUUAUGUACAAAUAUUUCUUUCUUCCUGUUUUAUUUUAAAUAUGUAUAUAUAGUCUAUAUGGAUAUAUUUUAUUGUUUUAGGAAAAGUUUUUCUGUUAUAUUUUGAAUCGAAUGUUAUGAGUUUAUCCUUUAAUGUUCAUGUCAGCAUUUAGCUUCAAACUGUAAACUUGUGUGUAAUGCAUUGUAAUGUAAUUUGUAUGUUAAUUCAUGAAAAAUGUCAUUUCAUUGUAAAGUUAAAAUUUUAAUUUUUAAAUGUGUAAAAUUUGAAGCAAAUAUCUUGCUAAACAUUUAAUGAGCAUUACAUUUUUUACUGUAAUUCUGGUACAUAUGUUAUAUUAAUGUAUAAUACUAGGAAUUUCCCUACUUUGCUUGUUAAAUCUAUUAAAUGAUUGUGGAGUUGUGUCUAUUUUUCUUUACAGAAAUAUGUUUUAGUAUGCUUGGUAAUUUAUGGUGUUAUAUUUCAAUGUUACGUGUAUGUUAAUGAUAUAGAGUUCAAAUAAUCAAUUUCAUUUGAUUAGUGCUAUUUUCAAGCACAUGUUUUUGUGUUUAUAAAAAAUUCGUUUUGUAUGAAGUUUAAUUGUUAUGUUUCAGUGGAAGGUUGUGAAAGGAUAGAAUUAUUUUCUGGUUUUAAUGUUAUUCAAUAAUAUUUUUACUCAUGCUACAACUAAGAUUUAUGUGGGUUAGUAUUACAGGGUAAUUUUUAAUCCUUAUCUCUUUUUUUUAUUAUGGGCAUGUGAUAAAUUUUAUUUUUAAUUUGCUAUUUUGUGAUGUGUAUGCAAAGAUUUUUAUUCAAUGUAUCAUUCAUAAUGCUAAAAUAUUUGUAUUGAUGAAUUUUACUUCUAUUUUCCCUAAUAAUCACCCUCCAUAACCACAGUUAUGUGAUGUGUACAGUUGUGUGUGUAAUCACAUUACCUUUAAUUGUAUAUAUGUAUGUGUGUACAUAUACACAAGCAGAUGCAAACUAUAUAUAUGGUGGGAUGUUGUGUUUAGUGAAAUAGAAAUGUCAUUGAAUAAGAUUUUGAAAAUUCAGGAUCUCAAGAUAAAAUUCUUAUAAUUUUGAAACUCGAUUUUAUUAAGUUUUAAUUACAUUUCCUACAAUAUGCAUUCAUAACACUUUGAAAAUAUUUUGGGAUUUUUUCUUGUAGGAAGAUCAGAUUUGAUCUUCAAGGCUUAUCCACUUUAUCGUGCACAUAUAUGCAUUGCUGAAAAUUAAAAUGAUUAUUUUUUCUGAAUAGGGAGUUAACUUUCAGGGCUAUUUCUGCCUAUUGUUUAAUUAGUAAACGGCAAAAACUUUAAGUGUACCCAAUGUUAUAUUUUUAAAGUGAUUAUUAUAAUAAAAUGUAUCAUAGGAGUGCAUACAAGGGUUUAAGAGCACCUCAAAAUUUUAUAUCUUCUUUUUUACAGUUAUAUAUAUUUAGGAGCACCUUGUCUUUAUGAAUUUAAUUUGUUCCUAACAGUGAUUCAUAAAGCAGAGUGUAGUUGUAGAGUUUGACUAUUAAUAAACACUUUAAUGAAGUAGCAGUGUUAUGGCAAUCAUUCACUAAUAAGCUAUAUUGUGCACUGCUACAGAAAUCUGGACAAUUUAUUUUUUUUUUAAAUUUAGCUUAAUUUUUUGUGUCCAAAAAUUUAAUUAUCAUUCCAAGGUUUCAUAAAGCUGAGGUUUCCAAAGUGAAGUAUGACAGCAUAUGUGUCAGUUUUUCUUCUUACUAAAUGAAUAAUAUUUUGCUGUUAGUAAAAAUUUUGUUUUUAAUAAAGCUUCUUGUAAUUUAUAAAACAGGAUUUAUUAUUCAUCAUUGAUACUAUGUAAUUGUUUAAUUGCAUGCAAAAUAUUAUCCUGUUUAGCAGUGUUUGACUAAAUUUAACUUCGACCUGCCCUUAUAUCAAUGUACAAACUUGUUAGAAUUGAUUGUUUUGCAUAUGUGAACUGUAUAUUUUUUGUAAUAAAAAUUUGUUUUUUUUUUG
Molecule: unclassified non-coding RNA, 6489 nt
Filed under: Stegodyphus dumicola
Lineage: Eukaryota; Metazoa; Arthropoda; Arachnida; Araneae; Eresidae
Description: protein timeless-like, transcript variant X4
Source: RNAcentral